The sequence is a regulatory RNA element, 113 nucleotides long. It matches the Rfam family "ALIL pseudoknot". The record is from Rfam.
AGCUUUUUUCGCCCAAGCGGAGCUGGACCGCAAAUCCCGGUAUUAGUCGACUUCAUUGAUGAGUACCGCAGUACGUACGGUGUCCAGUCGGUCGUGAGGUUGAGGUCGCGCCA